AUGACACGCUCUGGAAUGUCAGCAGAGGCUUGGCUGAAGUGUGGGGCUGGGCACAGUCCCUUCCCUGAGGUCCCCCGGAGGAGGGGUGCCCCCCAGGACGGGACCAUGCAAGGCGCCGAGGGCGGCUGCUUUGCCUGUUGCUGGAACCUCCUGCUCUUCCUGCUGGCCUGCUACUUCCUCAGGCUCUGGAAUGGCCAAUUCCAGGCACUUCCCGCGUGGAGAGACUCACCCCGGCCCCCUUCCCAAGGCCAGGAAGAAAGAGCGCCCAGGUGGCUGUCAGAGGACCCCCACCACUCUCCGAGGAGCCGCCGACGCCGUUCCAUCCGCCGGCUGCUGUGCGACGACCCAAGCUGCUCCUUGUGCCAGCAGGUGGCCGAGGAGGCGGCCGAACUGGCUUACCCCAGAGGGCCGGGCCUUGGGGUCCCCCUGACCCGGGCCAGUCAGAGGGAAAGCACCCACAGCUCCGUGUCCAGCACCCUGGACUCCUCGUUCAGCAGCUGGACACAGGGCAGCAUCUCCUCCUCUGGGUGCUCAGUGUCGCUGCGGAGCAUCUUCUCCUGGUCUCUGCAGGUGGAGAGCGAAGAGAUCUCGUCCUUCAGCGAGAGUACCCGGCGAUCCCAGGCCACAAGAAAGGGCGCACACAGGAAGAGCCGAGAGGGUGGCUGUCGGCACUGCCGCCGGCGCCACCGGAGGAAGGGGCGGGCUCCGGCCUUCCAAGGGGUCGCCCUGGAGACCCCCUUCCUGGGGGAGGAGGCCAGGGCCAGCUUAGAAGGGCACCUGCUGAGGAAGCAGGUUCAGCACGCCCUGGGGCUGCCCGCCACCCUCCUCCGCUCCCUCCGGGCCUUCAUGCCCCUUGCCCCAAACUCUGUGGCCAGGAGCGCCCCCAGGAGCCCUGUUCUGGCCCUCUGCCCCCAGCCUCUCCCCUUCCUGAAGCCCCAUGGCACCCGGGCAGAACUCGAGAAGCACCUGAAGAAGAUGGUGCACCUCAGGCGCUGGCGGCUGCCC
RNAcentral lists this long non-coding RNA (1005 nucleotides) under Pogona vitticeps (central bearded dragon). RNAcentral describes it as "lncRNA (ENSPVIG00000016339.1)". The record is from RNAcentral. Lineage: Eukaryota; Metazoa; Chordata; Lepidosauria; Squamata; Agamidae.